Molecule: long non-coding RNA, 423 nt
Filed under: Marmota monax (woodchuck)
Lineage: Eukaryota; Metazoa; Chordata; Mammalia; Rodentia; Sciuridae
Source: RNAcentral
CCGAGUCGGAGCGGAAGUGGCUUCCCGUCGGGAUCCGUAGGGCGGUGGGGAGCUAGCUGCGGCAGCGACGGUGGCGGUGGUGGCAAAGCUCUGUUCACAGCGUACCGUGUCGGUCCUGCAGCGGUUGCUCAGUACCGGGCGGUAGCAGCAACUGCCACGACUCACGGGGAGAGCUUGGAAGAGCAGCGAGGAACGCCAGGAAAGGGGUGUGUCUGGAGGGACGUGAUAUAUUUGGUGUCGAGAGAAGGACCUGAAACUUGUUCCUCGUAAUAGUUGAUUGCUUUUUCCUCUUUUGAUAACAGAUUCUGGAGACAUUCGACGUCUCCGUUCUCUAUUUUCUCGGCCCUUCUCAGUUUAUUCGUAAACUGAUGUGAGUGAGAGCUUUUUAGUGCAACCUCUGAGUUAAGGUGCGUAUGGGGCGGA